CAGUCGACGCUUCUUUCCUCCCGAGUGCUUGCACUCAAUUGGAAAGAGGAGUGGCGAACGGGUGAGUAACACGUGGGUAACCUGCCCAUCAGAAGGGGAUAACACUUGGAAACAGGUGCUAAUACCGUAUAACAAUCGAAACCGCAUGGUUUUGAUUUGAAAGGCGCUUUCGGGUGUCGCUGAUGGAUGGACCCGCGGUGCAUUAGCUAGUUGGUGAGGUAACGGCUCACCAAGGCCACGAUGCAUAGCCGACCUGAGAGGGUGAUCGGCCACAUUGGGACUGAGACACGGCCCAAACUCCUACGGGAGGCAGCAGUAGGGAAUCUUCGGCAAUGGACGAAAGUCUGACCGAGCAACGCCGCGUGAGUGAAGAAGGUUUUCGGAUCGUAAAACUCUGUUGUUAGAGAAGAACAAGGAUGAGAGUAACUGUUCAUCCCUUGACGGUAUCUAACCAGAAAGCCACGGCUAACUACGUGCCAGCAGCCGCGGUAAUACGUAGGUGGCAAGCGUUGUCCGGAUUUAUUGGGCGUAAAGCGAGCGCAGGCGGUUUCUUAAGUCUGAUGUGAAAGCCCCCGGCUCAACCGGGGAGGGUCAUUGGAAACUGGGAGACUUGAGUGCAGAAGAGGAGAGUGGAAUUCCAUGUGUAGCGGUGAAAUGCGUAGAUAUAUGGAGGAACACCAGUGGCGAAGGCGGCUCUCUGGUCUGUAACUGACGCUG
This 717-nucleotide ribosomal RNA is filed under the name uncultured bacterium. RNAcentral's name for it is "bacterial SSU rRNA". It matches the Rfam family "Bacterial small subunit ribosomal RNA", at positions 59 to 748 of the family's 1533-position model. The record is from RNAcentral.